CGCGUAGGCGGUUUACUAAGUCAGAUGUGAAAGCCCCGGGCUUAACCUGGGAACUGCAUUUGAUACUGGUAGGCUAGAGUAUGGUAGAGGGGGGUAGAAUUCAUAGUGUAGCGGUGAAAUGCGUAGAUAUUAUGAGGAAUACCAGUGGCGAAGGCGGCCCCCUGGACAAAUACUGACGCUGAGGUACGAAAGCGUGGGUAGCGAACAGGAUUAGAUACCCUGGUAGUCC
This 229-nucleotide ribosomal RNA is filed under the name uncultured bacterium. Its description in RNAcentral is "partial 16S ribosomal RNA". It matches the Rfam family "Bacterial small subunit ribosomal RNA", at positions 568 to 796 of the family's 1533-position model. The record is from RNAcentral.